This 382-nucleotide unclassified non-coding RNA is filed under the name soil metagenome. RNAcentral describes it as "partial contains 5.8S ribosomal RNA, internal transcribed spacer 2, and large subunit ribosomal RNA". The stretch from base 1 to 120 matches the Rfam family "5.8S ribosomal RNA", at positions 35 to 154 of the family's 154-position model. The record is from RNAcentral.
GAUGAAGAACGCAGCGAAAUGCGAUAAGUGAUGUGAAUUGCAGAAUUCAGUGAAUCAUCGAAUCUUUGAACGCACCUUGCACCCUUUGGCAUUCCGAAGGGUAUGCUCGUUUGACUGUCAUUGUACUCUCACUCUCCCGAUACUUUUGGAUCGGGAGUGGUGGACUUGGGUGCUGCUGCUUAACUGUGGCUCGCCUUAAAUGAAGUAGUGCAACUCUCGGUUGGACAUAGUACGGCGUGAUAAGUGUCUUCGCCGGCGCCUCAUUCGAGGGUGGCCGAUCGGGAGCUCUGUGCUUCAAACUGUCUUCGGACAACAUCUGACAACUUGACCUCAAAUCGAGUAGGACUACCCGCUGAACUUAAGCAUAUCAAUAAGCGGAGGA